This 465-nucleotide ribosomal RNA is filed under the name uncultured bacterium. RNAcentral describes it as "partial 16S ribosomal RNA". It matches the Rfam family "Bacterial small subunit ribosomal RNA", at positions 339 to 795 of the family's 1533-position model. The record is from RNAcentral.
CUACGGGACGCAGCAGUGGGGAAUAUUGGACAAUGGGGGAAACCCUGAUCCAGCAAUGCCGCGUGUGUGAAGAAGGCCUGCGGGUUGUAAAGCACUUUCGGUUGGGAGGACUGCUUCUAGCACUAAUAUUGUUGGAAGUUGACGUUACCUUCAGAAGAAGCACCGGCUAACUCCGUGCCAGCAGCCGCGGUAAUACAGAGGGUGCAAGCGUUAAUCGGAAUUACUGGGCGUAAAGCGCGCGUAGGCGGCUAGAUCAGUCGGGUGUGAACGCCCCGGGCUUAACCUGGGAACUGCAUCCGAUACUGUCUAGCUUGAGUACAGGAGAGGAGAGUGGAAUUCCACAUGUAGCGGUGAAAUGCGUAGAUAUGUGGAGGAACACCAAUGACGAAGGCAGCUCUCUGGCCUGAUACUGACGCUGAGGUGCGAAAGCGUGGGGAGCAAACAGGAUUAGAUACCCGCGUAGUC